RNAcentral lists this small RNA (107 nucleotides) under Marmota monax (woodchuck). The record is from RNAcentral. Lineage: Eukaryota; Metazoa; Chordata; Mammalia; Rodentia; Sciuridae.
GCUGGGUGCAGUGGCGCACGCCUGUGAUCCCAUCGACUCAGGAGGCCCAGGCAGGAGGAUUGCAAGUUCGAGGCAAGUCUCAGCAACUUAGCAAGACCCUGUCUCAA